Long non-coding RNA from Heteronotia binoei (common prickly gecko), 513 nucleotides. RefSeq lists it as uncharacterized. Lineage: Eukaryota; Metazoa; Chordata; Lepidosauria; Squamata; Gekkonidae. The record is from RefSeq and is a predicted model, not a curated record. The transcript has 4 exons.
GGACAACUGUGGUGUGCCACAACUGCCAGCUAUGAGUGGGACAGGAAGUGGAAGGCAUGUGCUUUGCAAGAGCAUGAAGGGAACUCAAAAGGUGGGAUUUGUGUCUUCCCUUUUAUCUACAAGAACCAGUCAUUCUAUACCUGCACCAAUGAAGAUACCAAGGAUGGGAGAUUUUGGUGUGCCACCACUCCAUAUUAUGACAAGGACAAAUUGUGGAGCUACUGUGCAGACACAAUACUAGAUGCUCAUCCCACCGGACCAUGUGUCUUCCCUUUUAUCUACAAUGGAAAGUCAUAUCGGCAUUGCACAAGAUAUGGGGAUGCCAGCGGGGAACUCUGGUGCUCCUUCACCAGCAAUUACAAUGUCGAUCCCAAAUGGACCUACUGUAAACCUACAGGUCGAAUUCCCCUUCCUCCAAGGUAUGGCUCUUAGAACAGAACAGCGACUCGUAAGAAAACUCCUCAGCCUGCAAGCAAAUUUAUACUUCAAAGAAAACUCAGACCAGCUUUUCUC